RNAcentral lists this ribosomal RNA (358 nucleotides) under Dikerogammarus haemobaphes. RNAcentral's name for it is "partial 16S ribosomal RNA". The record is from RNAcentral. Lineage: Eukaryota; Metazoa; Arthropoda; Malacostraca; Amphipoda; Gammaridae.
GCGGUAUUUUGACCGUGCUAAGGUAGCAUAAUCAAUUGUUUUUUAAUUGAAAACUAGUAUGAACGGUUUAAUUUACUUAAUUAGUUUGUAAUUUUUAAUAGUAAGUUAAAUAUAAAGUAAGAAUUCUUUAAUAAAUUAGGGGACGAUAAGACCCUAAAAGCUUUAUGAUUGGCAUUUAAUUGGUGAUAGCGGUGUUAUUAAUUCACUGGGGCAGUGAGUUUAGGUAUAUUUAAGUAUAAUUAAAAGCUCCUUUAAAUAAAGAUUUCAUGUAUAAGUUACUUUAGGGAUAACAGUGCAAUAUAUUUGGGGAGACCAUAUCUAUAAAUAUGAUUGCAACCUCGAUGUUGAAAUUAAAAUA